UUCCCUACUUAGCUAUGGAAACCAACUGGGUGAUCACACUUUCCCAGUCUUAAAAGAAGUUAAUGGCUAACCUAUACUCAGGAAAUCUUGCCAAGAAACUUCCAUGGCAGGUUCACCUCAGAGUCACCAUAAAUCAGAAAUAACUUAGAGGCACAUAUGAUCAUCAACAAGAACAAAAAAAGAUGCAAGAAGUCUGGUGACCACUGCUCAUUCCUGUCAGUCAUGCUGCAUUUGAGACUUGAAAUAGUUAUCCACUUACAGAUUGUUUAUCUGAGGGCUGAGUCUAAUGAGGAAACAGCAAAGACCUGUUGAGACACAGAAAGAAGCAGAGCAAUGCAGCUAGAAUAAAUUAUUUUCAGCCAUGAA
This is a long non-coding RNA of Anolis carolinensis (green anole), 366 nucleotides long. RefSeq lists it as uncharacterized. The record is from RefSeq and is a predicted model, not a curated record. Lineage: Eukaryota; Metazoa; Chordata; Lepidosauria; Squamata; Anolidae. The transcript has 3 exons.